Long non-coding RNA from Dendronephthya gigantea, 216 nucleotides. RefSeq lists it as uncharacterized. NCBI's taxonomy places the organism in Eukaryota, Metazoa, Cnidaria, Anthozoa, Malacalcyonacea, Nephtheidae. The transcript has 3 exons. The record is from RefSeq and is a predicted model, not a curated record.
UCCUGUGUGCUUACAACAGAAAUUGGAAUGGGAGGUGUUGGAUGUUGUUCUGAGAAACUUUCCGGAGGCACUGCAAGAUAAAACCUUGAUACAUUCUCGAAAGCACUACUUACGUUCAAUAUGUACAGUGUUAUCUAAAAUGGUUUGAAAUUAUGAUUUUCUCCCUGGAUUAUUUCGCGUUCCUCAUGAUAUGCGCCGACCUCAUUUGUACGCUAG